RNAcentral lists this ribosomal RNA (987 nucleotides) under Demequina sp. CR-32. RNAcentral's name for it is "bacterial SSU rRNA". It matches the Rfam family "Bacterial small subunit ribosomal RNA", at positions 56 to 1055 of the family's 1533-position model. Lineage: Bacteria; Bacillati; Actinomycetota; Actinomycetes; Micrococcales; Demequinaceae. The record is from RNAcentral.
UGCAAGUCGAACGGUGAAGCGAGAGCUUGCUCUCGUGGAUCAGUGGCGAACGGGUGAGUAACACGUGAGUAACCUGCCCCAGACUCUGGGAUAAGCCUUGGAAACGAGGUCUAAUACCGGAUACGAGACGAGAUCGCAUGGUCAUCGUCUGGAAAGAAUUUCGGUCUGGGAUGGACUCGCGGCCUAUCAGCUUGUUGGUGAGGUAAUGGCUCACCAAGGCGACGACGGGUAGCCGGCCUGAGAGGGCGACCGGCCACACUGGAACUGAGACACGGUCCAGACUCCUACGGGAGGCAGCAGUGGGGAAUAUUGCACAAUGGGCGCAAGCCUGAUGCAGCGACGCCGCGUGGGGGAUGAAGGCCUUCGGGUUGUAAACCCCUUUCAGCAGGGAAGAAGCGAAAGUGACGGUACCUGCAGAAGAAGCGCCGGCUAACUACGUGCCAGCAGCCGCGGUAAUACGUAGGGCGCAAGCGUUGUCCGGAAUUAUUGGGCGUAAAGAGCUCGUAGGCGGUCUGUCGCGUCUGCUGUGAAAACCCGAGGCUCAACCUCGGGCCUGCAGUGGGUACGGGCAGACUAGAGUGUGGUAGGGGAGACUGGAAUUCCUGGUGUAGCGGUGGAAUGCGCAGAUAUCAGGAGGAACACCAAUGGCGAAGGCAGGUCUCUGGGCCACUACUGACGCUGAGGAGCGAAAGCAUGGGGAGCGAACAGGAUUAGAUACCCUGGUAGUCCAUGCCGUAAACGGUGGGCACUAGAUGUGGGGCUCUUUCCAUGAGUUCCGCGUCGCAGCUAACGCAUUAAGUGCCCCGCCUGGGGAGUACGGCCGCAAGGCUAAAACUCAAAGGAAUUGACGGGGGCCCGCACAAGCGGCGGAGCAUGCGGAUUAAUUCGAUGCAACGCGAAGAACCUUACCAAGGCUUGACAUAUACCCUUUAUCCCUAGAGAUAGGGAGUCCUUCGGGGGGGUAUACAGGUGGUGCAUGGUUGUCGU